UAGGGAAUCUUCGGCAAUGGGGGCAACCCUGACCGAGCAACGCCGCGUGAGUGAAGAAGGUUUUCGGAUCGUAAAGCUCUGUUGUAAGAGAAGAACGAGUGUGAGAGUGGAAAGUUCACACCGUGACGGUAUCUUACCAGAAAGGGACGGCUAACUACGUGCCAGCAGCCGCGGUAAUACGUAGGUCCCGAGCGUUGUCCGGAUUUAUUGGGCGUAAAGCGAGCGCAGGCGGUUAGAUAAGUCUGAAGUUAAAGGCUGUGGCUUAACCAUAGUACGCUUUGGAAACUGUUUAACUUGAGUGCAAGAGGGGAGAGUGGAAUUCCAUGUGUAGCGGUGAAAUGCGUAGAUAUAUGGAGGAACACCGGUGGCGAAAGCGGCUCUCUGGCUUGUAACUGACGCUGAGGCUCGAAAGCGUGGGGAGCAAACAGGAUUAGAUACCCUGGUAGUCCACGCCGUAAACGAUGAGUGCUAGGUGUUAGACCCUUUCCGGGGUUUAGUGCCGUAGCUAACGCAUUAAGCACUCCGCCUGGGGAGUACGACCGCAAGGUUG
Molecule: ribosomal RNA, 550 nt
Filed under: uncultured bacterium
Lineage: Bacteria
Description: bacterial SSU rRNA
Rfam family: Bacterial small subunit ribosomal RNA
Source: RNAcentral